Molecule: ribosomal RNA, 2662 nt
Filed under: Punctodera stonei
Lineage: Eukaryota; Metazoa; Nematoda; Chromadorea; Rhabditida; Heteroderidae
Description: SSU rRNA
Rfam family: Eukaryotic small subunit ribosomal RNA (bases 1-1755)
Source: RNAcentral
CAUGCAUGUAUAAGUGUAACCUGCCAGACAGGGAAACUGCGUACGGCUCAUUACACCAGCUAUAAUUUACUUGACCUUGACUUUCUUACUUGGAUAACUGUGGUAAUUCUAGAGCUAAUACAUGCACCAAAGCUCCAAUCUUCCCAGAGCGGAGCGCAUUUGUUCGCCACAAAACCAAGCGCCUUCGGGCGUCCAGUGUUGACUCAGAACAACUAAGCUGAUCGCACGGUCUUGCACCGGCGACGUGUCUUUCAAGUGUCUGCCUUAUCAACUUUCGAUGGUAGUGUACCUGACUACCAUGGUGAUGACGGGUAACGGAGGAUAAGGGUUCGACUCCGGAGAAGGGGCCUGAGAAAUGGCCACUACGUCUAAGGAUGGCAGCAGGCGCGCAAAUUACCCACUCUCAACAUGAGGAGGUAGUGACGAGAAAUAACGAGACCGAUCUCUUAUGAGGCCGGUCAUCGGAAUGGGUACAAUUUAAACCCUUUAACGAGUAUCUAUGAGAGGGCAAGUCUGGUGCCAGCAGCCGCGGUAAUUCCAGCUCUCAAAAUGCAUAGAAUUAUUGCUGCGGUUAAAAAGCUCGUAGUUGGAUCUGUGCUAGCCGGCCGGUCCACCCACUGGGUGCGCACUGGUUCGGUUGGCUUUUCUGCCGGUCUCUCCCCGGCGUUGGCCUUCACUGGUCGGCGUCGGUGGGCUGGCGAGUUUACUUUGAACAAAUCAGAGUGCUUCAAACAGGCGUUUCGCUUGAAUGUUCGUGCAUGGAAUAAUAGAAGAGGAUUUCGGUCCGAUUUUAUUGGUUUUGCUGACCGAGAUAAUGGUUAACAGAGACAAACGGGGCCAUUCGUAUUGCUACGUGAGAGGUGAAAUUCUUGGACCGUAGCAAGACGGACUACAGCGAAAGCAUUUGGCAAGAAUGUCUUCAUUAAUCAAGAACGAAAGUCAGAGGUUCGAAGGCGAUCAGAUACCGCCCUAGUUCUGACCGUAAACGAUGCCAACUAGCGAUCCGCCGGCGGAUUUAUUCGCCCUGGUGGGGAGCUUCCCGGAAACGAAAGUCUUCCGGUUCCGGGGGAAGUAUGGUUGCAAAGCUGAAACUUAAAGGAAUUGACGGAAGGGCACCACCAGGAGUGGAGCCUGCGGCUUAAUUUGACUCAACACGGGGAAACUCACCCGGCCCGGACACCGUAAGGAUUGACAGAUUGAUAGCUUUUUCAUGAUUCGGUGGAUGGUGGUGCAUGGCCGUUCUUAGUUCGUGGAGCGAUUUGUCUGGUUUAUUCCGAUAACGAGCGAGACUCUAGCCUACUAAAUAGUUGGCUCAUUGCUACUGUGGGCACAACUUCUUAGAGGGAUUUUCGGUGUUCAGCCGCACGAAAUUGAGCAAUAACAGGUCUGUGAUGCCCUUAGAUGUCCGGGGCUGCACGCGCGCUACACUGGCAAAAUCAGCGUGCUUGUCCUUCCCCGAAAGGGGUUGGUAAACCGGUGAAAAUUUGCCGUGAUUGGGAUCGGACAUUGCAAUUAUUGUCCGUGAACGAGGAAUUCCUUGUAGGGGCGAGUCAUCAACUCGCUCUGAUUACGUCCCUGCCCUUUGUACACACCGCCCGUCGCUGCCCGGGACUGAGCCAAUUCGAGAAACUCGGGGACGAUUAUGCGUGCCGGCUUCGGUCGGCGCGUUGAUUGAAACCGAUUUAAUCGCAGUGGCUUGAGCCGGGCAAAAGUCGUAACAAGGUAGCUGUAGGUGAACCUGCUGCUGGAUCAUUACCCAAGUGAACCAAUUCACCACCUACCUGCUGUCCCGUUGAGUCAAUGUGGGCAACACCAUAUGCCUCCGUUUGUUGUUGACGGGCACAUGCCCAUGGGUUUGGGCUGGCACAUUGGCCAACAAGAUUGUACGGACAGCGCCCUGUGGGCACAAGAGUUUUGGGGUGCUGCUGAUGUUGGUGGCCCGAUGGGUGAGCCGACGAUUGUUGCUGUCGUCGGGUCGCUGCGCCAACAAAGGUUGCACGCUCAUAGGGCACCCUAACGGCUGUGCUGGCGUCUGUGCGUCGUUGAGCGGUUGUUGCGCCUUGCGCAGAUAUGCUGACGUGGAGUGUAGGCUGCGCUCCAUGUUGUACGCACCGUACCCAGCGGCAUGUCUGAGCUUGUGUGCUACGUCCGUGGCCGUGAUGAGACGACGUGUUAGGACCCGUGCCUGGCUGUGGCACGCGGUUUAAGACUUGAUGAGUGUCCGUCGGCACCGCCAGCGUUUUUCUCAUUUUCAUUAAUUUUUUCAAUGCAAUUCGUUGCUAAACAAAUAUUCUAGUCUUAUCGGUGGAUCACUCGGCUCGUGGAUCGAUGAAGAACGCAGCCAACUGCGAUAAUUAGUGUGAACUGCAGAAACCUUGAACACAGAACUUUCGAAUGCACAUUGCGCCAUUGGAGUGACAUCCAUUGGCACGCCCGGUUCAGGGUCGUAACCAAAAAAUGCACCGCAUGUGCAUGUUUUUGUUGCUAGUAUCACGCUCCGGCGUGUUCUUGCAUAACAUUGAUUGCUACGUUGUGUGUAGCGUGAGAGGUGCUGGCGCGAAAAUGUGUUGUAUUUCGCGCUUUACAGACCGUAAUUCAGGCACCCCCUCGUUCACAUGCGAUAGCGGAAUGCCAUUGCCAAUGGGCAUGUGCAACUGAACAU